GACAGAGGGGGCAAGCGUUGUUCGGAAUUACUGGGCGUAAAGGGCGCGUAGGCGGCCUUCUAAGUCGAACGUGAAAUCCCCGGGCUCAACCCGGGAACUGCGUCCGAUACUGGAAGGCUUGAAUCCGGGAGAGGGAUGCGGAAUUCCAGGUGUAGCGGUGAAAUGCGUAGAUAUCUGGAGGAACACCGGUGGCGAAGGCGGCAUCCUGGACCGGCAUUGACGCUGAGGCGCGAAAGCCAGGGGAGCAAACGGG
This 253-nucleotide ribosomal RNA is filed under the name uncultured bacterium. RNAcentral describes it as "partial 16S ribosomal RNA". It matches the Rfam family "Bacterial small subunit ribosomal RNA", at positions 524 to 776 of the family's 1533-position model. The record is from RNAcentral.